This 431-nucleotide ribosomal RNA is filed under the name uncultured bacterium. RNAcentral describes it as "partial 16S ribosomal RNA". It matches the Rfam family "Bacterial small subunit ribosomal RNA", at positions 29 to 505 of the family's 1533-position model. The record is from RNAcentral.
AACGAACGCUGGCGGCAUGCCUAACACAUGCAAGUCGAACGAGACCUUCGGGUCUAGUGGCGCACGGGUGCGUAACGCGUGGGGACCUGCCCUUAGGUUCGGAAUAACUCCCCGAAAGGGGUGCUAAUACCGGAUAAUGUCUUCGGACCAAAGAUUUAUCGCCUUUGGAUGGGCCCGCGUUGGAUUAGCUAGUUGGUAGGGUAAAAGCCUACCAAGGCGACGAUCCAUAGCUGGUCUGAGGGGAUGAUCAGCCACACUGGGACUGAGACACGGCCCAGACUCCUACGGGAGGCAGCAGUGGGGAAUAUUGGACAAUGGGCGAAAGCCUGAUCCAGCAAUGCCGCGUGAGUGAUGAAGGCCUUAGGGUUGUAAAGCUCUUUUACCCGGGAUGAUAAUGACAGGACCGGGAGAAUAAGCUCCGGCUAACUCCG